UGCAAGUCGAACGAAAUAGUAAGUAACUUUCUAUUUAGUGGCGGAAGGGUUAGUAAAGUAUGGAUAACUUACCUUUAACUUGGGGAUAACGAUUGGAAACGAUCGCUAAUACCGAAUGAAAGUAGGGAACGGCUUCAUCACUUAAUCAAAGUAGGGGACCUUGAAAGGGGCCUUGCGGUUAGAGAGAGGUUCAUGGGAUAUCAGCUAGUUGGUGAGGUAAUGGCUCACCAAGGCUAAGACGUCUAGGCGGAUUGAGAGAUUGACCGCCAACAUUGGGACUGAAAUACUGCCCAGACUCCUACGGGAGGCUGCAGUCGAGGAUCUUUCGCAAUGGGCGAAAGCCUGACGAAGCGACGCUGUGUGAACGAUGAAGGCUUCGGGUUGUAAAGUUCUUUCGCGCAAGAACAAGAGAGGAGAAUGAAUAAUUUUCUGAUUUGAGGGUACUGCGUAAAGAAGCGCCGGCUAACUCCGUGCCAGCAGCUGCGGUAAUACGGAGGGUGCAAGCAUUAAUAGGAUUUAUUGGGCGUAAAGGGUGCGUAGGCUAACUUGAAAGUCAGUUGUGGAAAUCCGGUGCUCAACCCCGGAGCUGCAUAUUAAACUAUAUUUAUAGAGGGAUGGCGGAGAAAAUGGAAUUCCACGUGUAGCGGUGAAAUGCGUAGAAAUGUGGAAGAACACCAGUGGCGAAAGCGGUUUUCUUGUUAUUUCCUGACGCUGAGGGGGGAGAGCAAGGGGGGCAAACAGGAUUAGAUACCCUCGUAGUCCCGGCAAUAAACGAUGUCUACUUGAUGUAGCGGGGCUCAACCCUAUCUGUGUCGAAGCCAACGCGAUAAGUAUACCGCCUGGGGAGUACGCUCCCAGGGGUAAAACUCAAAAGAAUUGACGGGGGCCCGCACAAGCAGUGGAGCAUGUGGUUUAAUUCGAUGCAACGCGAAGAACCUUACCCAGGCUCGAAAUGUAGAGGACGAUACCAGAGAUGGUAUUUCUCGUAAGGGUCUCUAUAUAGGUGCUGCAUGGCUGUCGUCAGCUCGUGCCGUGAGGUGUUGGGUUAAGUCCCGCAACGAGCGCAACCCUUAUCAUUAGUUGCCAACACGUAAUGGUGGGAACUCUAGUGAGACUGCCUAGGUUAACUAGGAGGAAGGUGAGGAUGACGUCAAGUCCGCAUGGCCUUUAUGUCUGGGGCUACACACGUGCUACAAUGGAUGGUACAGAAGGCAGCGAAUUCGCAAGAUAGAGCAAAUCCGUAAAGCCAUCCCCAGUUCGGAUUGUAGUCUGCAACUCGACUACAUGAAGUUGGAAUUGCUAGUAAUGACGUGUCAGCAACAACGUCGUGAAUACGUUCCCGGGCCUUGUACACACCGCCCGUCACAUCAUGGGAGUUGGUUUUACCCGAAGUCACUGACUUAACCGCAAGGGGAGAGGUGCCUAAGGUAAGGCC
Molecule: ribosomal RNA, 1435 nt
Filed under: Candidatus Renichlamydia lutjani
Lineage: Bacteria; Pseudomonadati; Chlamydiota; Chlamydiia; Parachlamydiales; Candidatus Rhabdochlamydiaceae
Description: bacterial SSU rRNA
Rfam family: Bacterial small subunit ribosomal RNA
Source: RNAcentral